GACCCCAGGUCAGGCGGGACUACCCGCUGAGUUUAAGCAUAUCAAUAAGCGGAGGAAAAGAAACUUACAAAGAUUCCCCUAGAAACGGCGA
This 91-nucleotide ribosomal RNA is filed under the name Bryonia alba. RNAcentral describes it as "partial 25S ribosomal RNA". It matches the Rfam family "Eukaryotic large subunit ribosomal RNA", at positions 1 to 92 of the family's 3401-position model. Lineage: Eukaryota; Viridiplantae; Streptophyta; Magnoliopsida; Cucurbitales; Cucurbitaceae. The record is from RNAcentral.